UACGUAGGGGGCAAGCGUUGUCCGGAUUUACUGGGCGUAAAGCGCGCGUAGGCGGGAAAGGAAGUCCGGUGUGAAAGCCCCCGGCUCAACCGGGGAAGGUCGCUGGAAACUCCUUUUCUUGAGGUGGACAGAGGGAAGUGGAAUUCCUGGUGUAGCGGUGAAAUGCGUAGAUAUCAGGAGGAACACCCGUGGCGAAGGCGGCUUCCUGGGUCCAUCCUGACGCUGAGGCGCGAAAGCGUGGGGAGCGAACGGG
This 253-nucleotide ribosomal RNA is filed under the name uncultured Armatimonadota bacterium. RNAcentral's name for it is "uncultured Armatimonadetes bacterium partial 16S ribosomal RNA". It matches the Rfam family "Bacterial small subunit ribosomal RNA", at positions 524 to 776 of the family's 1533-position model. Lineage: Bacteria; Bacillati; Armatimonadota. The record is from RNAcentral.